CAGGCUUGCUGGUACCAAGAGCUUUAUCCUCAUUUCCUAAGGAAACAAAGCUGAUGUGAUCAUAUUUUUACAGCGGCCACCUAACUUUUGAAUGUGCUGGCAAACCGAUUUGUCAAACGUACGGAGAUCUCAGAAGUGUUUGAGUCCCAUGAGCUUAGUGAAGGUCAGCAGCUCAAUAGGAGGGAUCAUAAUCCAUGCUCCCAGGGAAGGAAAAGGCUGUGAGUUAUACAACUGUGCUAUUAGAUAUCAGGCAUGCAGGUUGGGGGGUUUUGACAGCUUGGAGGGAGCCACAUUGCCUAAAUCGCAGCUCCUGACAAGUGGAAGUGCCACAUUCAGCAACAACAAAACGACACAGGCCUUCAGAGAGAGGGACUUCAAGUGCUGUCGUUACCUGCUGCAGAGCAGGUUCCAGGUUCCUCUGGAAACACUGAGGACGUUUCUCACGGAGGUUGGCUAUAAUCUGGCAGUGAAACAUUGCUCGGGGCUGCCACUCCAGCAAGGGAUGUGAGAUGAAGGGGAUGGAGACUCUUCCAGGAACGUGCUCUCGGAGGAAGAAAUGACUAGUAACGUUGUGACAUCCCUUGUACUUGCCAAGCCUGCAACUCCACUCUGCCGGGCACGGUGCGUGCUUUGAACCCUGCGUCCUGCCCCGGGUUUCGAAUGCUGUAUCAACACAGUGCACUGCAGGGUGUUUUCACCACCCCAAGGUACGUGGCCACAUUAUCAGGGUGCCAAGCCCUUAUGAUUAGUCCCAUGUUUGUGCAUGACACAAACAGCAUCACGCAGCCUUUGGAGGGGGUAGAGCAGGGGCAGCCUGAAAUCUCUGCAGUCCACAAUGUACCUGUCACCAUAUUUCAGCACUCGGGUCGAACUGAGGGGGGAAGUUUCAGCGGGAAAAGGUGGGGGGAUUUUAAUGCUAGGAUGGUUCAUUUUGAUGUUUUAUUUAAGCGGGGCAGUUCAAAGAGUUGUCUCAAAAAGUGUUUUGCUUUGAUAUCAGUGAAUAAUUUUAAAGAGUUAAAAAGCUUAAAUAGCCUUGAGAAAAAACAUUCUUAAAUGACUGUUAUCUUUUUUUUUUCUCUCCUCUCAAAAGUUACUGAAAACCUGUGUGAACCUGAACUGAGUUCGAGAAAAGGAUUGAUGUUUCAGCUCAGUCCGAGCUGUUAUCAGCAUGUUCAUAUUUGCAGGCUCAACAAGCAGCAGUAAAACAAACAGUUCAAGUGACUUGAGCAAGAUCACCUUGUAGGUAAGGGACAGAGACUGAAAUAGAUCCUGUGUCUCCUGUCCCGUGUCUCCACCUGACCAUUUUUGACUCUAAUUAAGCAAUUACAAAGGCUGUUUCCCUGGCAAGGUGAUAAUCAGCUUCACUGCUGAUUGCAGUGAGUUUUCAUCACCUGAUAGGACCAAGGCUUGCAGAACAGAGACACUUUCAGCUGCUGUAAAUCAGCACAGCUUUGCUUUCCCUUCCAGCGAGCCGCGCUGAUUUACACUACUGAUUUAUGUUGGCCUCCCUGAGGUCCCUGACAGAUGUGCAGUGGUGGAUUAAAAUCAGACAAAUGAAGGGCUAUGAGGUGCCACUGGCCUGCCACCCCAUCCUGCAAACAGGCAUUGCCACCCAGAGGCAGGGGCAUCUCCUCUAUGGCAGUUCAGGAGCUUUUGCACGAGGGGGUGAGACAGUGUCUGUGGCGGCAGCAGUCCCCGUCAGAGGGGCCGGGCAGAUGGCUCAGUGUGGUGGCAGCUCUGACUGCCCAAUUUUAAUCUGCUGCCACAUGCCUGUCAGAGCCUGAGUCACGUUCUGCUGUCUUUAAUCCAGCAAAACUCUCAUCGACUGAAUACAAAUCACCCGAUGCUUAGAGACCCCCUUCCUCAGCCCUGUCCUCGGCUCGGGCAGGGCCGAUGGAAGCACUGUGCUUUUUCUUUGGCAGAGGAAGAGACAGAAUCAAACCAUAUUCCCUGCAAAUAGAAGCCACAAAUACAUCAGGGAAGGAGAAGUCAAAGCAUUCACAGAGUGAGAAAGAUGCGGCAUGGUUUACAUUUGGCAGGUGGCACAAACCAAUCUUGAUGGAUCAAGCCUGAUUUCUGGGAAAACCCCACUGCGUUUUGUAUACCAUCCCUUCUCCCUUCUUCCUCUGCAAAGCACCCAAUCCACUUCUCUUUGAACAAAUCUGAGUAUUGGAUCAGGCCCUCAAAAACAGCAGUUUUGCAUCCACACGUGGAUGCUAGAUACUGGAAAGAGAAUCUCAGUUUUUACUAUCUGAAUUAGACUCUGGAGUCUCCAUUUGAGCAACUAACCUUUCGCAUCAGGAUAUGGAGAAUCACAGAGAGUUAAGCAGGCGUCUUUGAGGAGGUUUUAGGAAAGAGCAUCUACUCAAACAGACCGUGCAUUCUGAUAUUGCAAAAUACAUCUAUUUCUCACAUGAGGUUGAAAAAUCACAGCACCCUCUCCCCAAUUACAGAAUUAAAUACUCUGAAUGAUUAGUUUCAGAAACAUGCAGACUGAAAAGAAACAUUUAGCUAAGGUCAGCCACAACUAUUAAAUGGAAUAUGCACAUGACACAGUACUGGAAUAAAAACUCCAGCCCCUCUCCCA
This is a long non-coding RNA of Struthio camelus australis, 2587 nucleotides long. The record is from Ensembl. NCBI's taxonomy places the organism in Eukaryota, Metazoa, Chordata, Aves, Struthioniformes, Struthionidae.